This 20056-nucleotide long non-coding RNA is filed under the name Cucumis sativus (cucumber). RNAcentral's name for it is "long non-coding RNA (CSAT_LNC000009)". The stretch from base 4435 to 4505 matches the Rfam family "tRNA". Lineage: Eukaryota; Viridiplantae; Streptophyta; Magnoliopsida; Cucurbitales; Cucurbitaceae. The record is from RNAcentral.
GUCAAAGAAGAUUUCGAAGACGAGACUGGUCCGGAGGAUAGGCUUUCUUUUCCUUGGCCGACUACGCGGUAGAAAAGCCAACCAUGGCGAAGCGAAGGAAGUGCUCUGGAAAGGGCGGGCUGGGCGAACUCGGGAGUGGAAGAAGUUGAUGUCCCCGGGAGUCCGCCUGAGAUCUAGAUCUUUCUCUUUUUCUUGCUUGAGGUCUGAGAUCGGAUCCUUCAUUCAUUCGUGACUCGUGGCAUUGAACUUCCUUUUCUUAUAAUAAAUCACCUUCUUUCUACAGUGAAAGCUUAGCUUAGGCUGACGGCCUUGGGAAUGGUCAAGAGAUUAGAACCAACCGCGUAGUGGGCAGCCUUCCUCAUCACCCUAGAAGGAGCCCGGAUCCUGAAAGGGGGACCUAUGAUUCCGCUGACUCAGCAAGAAUUUGAGGUGGGGCGGAGACUGAAUUUUCCUCUCCUCUGGGACAGAAUUUCUCUUGACUUCUGAUUCCGCUCUUCUCUACGAGGAUCCCGUAAUAAUCAGACUGAUUCUUUCUCCUUCUGCCGAAGAAAUAGAGUCCCGUCAGUCCUUCCUCUUUGUCGAGUUUUGCGCUUUCUUUCCAAAAAGAGAAUGAAAUCACGUAUUUUCAGAGUUAGAAGAUGGGAAUCCAAGGAUUUCUCCUUCAAGGCCGACGGAAAGAGAUUGUACACGGAUCCUCCUGGUUUUCUUCCUGCGAGUCAUCCUAUUAUUUCUUCCUUUUUCUACUUCUUCCUAUAGAGGUUCCUAUUUCCCAACCAUGAAUAAAGACGGGGGAGGUCCCUUUCAAUCCCACCACUAAUAGACGAGACGAGGGUAGAUGGGUCGCCGGAUCAGUAUGAAGCAGCGGCCGGGUCAGAGUCAGGUUGCAUCCCUUUCAGGAAUGAGAAGGAUAGAGGAAGAGUAACAAGAAAAGCAAGUUCAAAUAAACUAAGAUUUUGGGCUAGUGAUGAAAAUAUUCAAGAUUCCACUAUUCGAAAGCCUAUCCUUUCUGAGAACCUUCUGACUUAUCUUCUUUUUUAGAACCGUCGAAGAACAUUUGCCAGAGGAGUUGAGUCUUCUUCUUCGCCUACCGCUAAUAGAAUAGCUGAGUCCGGGAAAUGCGUCCCCUUACUAAACUAAGAAAAUCAAGCUCAUAGUCCGGACGGGAUGAUCCAUCCGUAGGUGGUCUGCUAUUGCCUGCCCCUUUCCUUACUCAUUUAGGGCUUCCCCUUGCUUUUACAGAACUCUGAGAGUCACAUCUGCCACCUUCCUGGCCCAUUCAGGCUGGCUUUGAAAAGAGAUACUGAAGCGGGUCCAUCCUUGCAAUCAGCAUGGUCGUAUAGUUCAAGAUGUAGUGGCGUAGGCUUUGCGAGGCUCAUGGUUGAGCACAACCGCUUUUUUCUAGAACCGUAUACCUUGUCUCAUAAUCAGUGAACUUCUUGCCGAUCUCGUAUAUUGCCCUUUCUUUCCUACCAGUUUCAUCUCAUCGUGCUGACCAAGGACAGACACAACUCAUGGAUGCUUGAAUUACUUACAGAUAGAUGCAUCAGGAUAGGCUUUCCUCUUUUUCCCACGGAGCGUCCGUCCGAAGGACUACGAAGGAGGACGCCUAGUUUUAGUGGAAAAUAAGGGUCCGGAGGCUGAAUGAAAUUCUCUAAUGGAUAGGACCCACGGAGCGGUGCAAUGAAGCGUUGUAAGGAGCUUUUGUUUUGAAAGUGGCCUUUUUUAUAAGAGGACUAUCCAUAUUCACCUUAGGAUCAAAGUCAGCCCACGGAGCGGAACAUAAUCAGACUGAGACUUUAAUUCGAUCUUCAUUCUCCCACGUAGCGGUCUUCUCGUAUGAGAUCUUUCGAGGUUAGUUACGAAGGAGAGGCGCAAAGAAUAUUGCGAAAAGCCUAGCCUUUGAGAAUUUUCAUCUUCGUUCUUUCGAGAAUGAGGAGGCCCACCUUUCUUGCUCCUUCCGCCUGCUUGCGUGCUUGGAGAGGAUAAAGGUGCUUCGACUCUUAAUAAUGCAUCUUCUUUAGAUAAAGGCCGCUUCCCGGAAGGAAAGGAGUGGAGAAAGGGUCCUUCUUCCUCCCCUCCUUUCGAGAUCCUCUUUUCUAAGAACCUGUAAUAACUCCUCGUCAACUAAGCUCUUUCGCGCUAUCGUAGUAGCUUGACUCAGUAUUAGGUUAUUCAGUUCCCACCCACACUCGUAGGUUCCGAUCAAGAGAGGUGAAUCAGCUUUCUUUCUUCCGCAUCCUCUUUAGGAUUAGGAGUCGAGCCCUUGUUCAUUGAUGGCCUAGCCUCUCUGUCUUUACCAAAAGGAUAGCUUGACUCAAAAGAGAAAGGACGCUUGAAGUUCAAGAGCGACUCCGGACCCGCCCGGAAGUUGUCGAAUCAUUAGCCAAAUAAGGAGAAGAGAACAAACUGGAGUGGGAAAGGGGAGAAGCAUAAGGUUGCCCGGUUCAGAUCAGUCUUCAUUCUUUCUUCGGCUUAGCUGAGAUUCGUACCAUCAUGCCUUCUCUACAGCACCACUUUGCCUUUAACCAGAGGUAAUUCGCUCCUUUCCCGCUCCGUAGAGUUCAAGACUUCCGCUCCGUGGGGGUUAAGACUUUCUAAGAGUUAACAAGAAUACCGGAAUAAAGAAGCUUUACGGUCUCGCUCUUAAGUCGUAUUCAUCCCUCAGAAAGAUAAGAGUGAGAGGUGAGACUUCGUACUCACUCUUCCUUUGGUGCCAAGAAAAGACCUUUUAGUGUAUAGAACUCAUACAAUAUCCCUGUCUUAUGGAGCCUUGAUUUUCCCGUCCGUUUCAGACGCCAACAGGUUAAUAUGGUCCUUUGAAUAUGGAUAAACAAGUCAUCUGGACCUCGCAUAUUGAAUUGCGCCUUACAAGAUCCAGUCAAUGAAUCCGUGGGCUUACUUUGAUCCUCUCCCCCUAUUUCCUAUCGUCGGCGAGCCGCUUUCGCUCCGAAGGAGGUGCAAAGAAUAUUUCGUGGAAGAGGAAGGAAAGAAAGAAAGGUAUACAUUACAAGAAGAGAGAAGAGGAAGGCGCCAUAAGACAGGUCCGAAGGCUAGGUGCAAAGUUCGGUUAAUUACGGAAAGUCCUCCUUCCUUCCAUAUGGAUGGUCCUACUUCGGUUAAUUACGGAUGGUCCUACGGAUAAAUCACCUGGACCUUUCUUUGGCCCAUAUGGAUAGUCCUCCGGACUACGGAUAAAUCCUGCGGACUGCGGACUCCGGACUCCGGACGGCUGUCCGCUACGCUACGGCUCCGCUUCCGCGAUUAAUAUGGAUAGUCCUUCGGACGGAGAAAGAAAGGUGCAAAGAAUAUAUAGAGAAGGAGAGGAUCAAUGUAAGUAAUAUGAUGUAAGGAGAGGAGUUUUCUCCCGCCGAAUUCUUAAGGAGCAAUCAUUGAUAAGGAAGGAUCUUUUCACCUUUAGCUAGCUCGUCGGGCGAUGUCAACAAGGUCCUUCGCUCCGGACCCGCGUAGUGGGAAUGGACAUUCUUUCUUUAGUGCAGCGUCAUUUGCGAAGAAGCGAAAAGAGGAAAGAGGAAAGCCUAUCCAACCCACGGGGCGGUCUAAGGAAGGAAAGCCUACUUAAACCUACUAUCAAUGAACCGCAAUAUUCUUUGCGCCUCCCAGUCUCCUAAUGGAUAGUCCUACUUCGGUUAAUUACGGAUGGUCCUACGGAUAAAUCCUCCGGACUCCUUCCCUCCAUAUGGAUGGUCCUACGGAUAAAUCCUCCGGACUCCGGAUAAAUCCUGCGGACUGCGGACUCCGGACGUAGGACCUGUCUUUAUCAGGAGCGUAGCGAACAGCCGUCAACUACUUGAUAGUUAUCCUAUCUUUCUCCUACGCGGAAUCCAGAAUAGACCUCUCUUUCUCCGGAAAAGAAACUCAAACAAGAAUCAAACUAUGUGAAUUUCUUAUCCCUUUCCUAGGAGUUCUUCUUUCAUUGCGUUUUCCCGGCUUUUUUGCUUCUAAAUAGGACUUUUUCUCAUAUUUCUAUUUCACGAAAAUAGAUCAAAAAUGACUGAUUUUUCAUGAUUUCUUUCUACUAUUUCUUUUCAGCUCUCCUUAUCAGUCGAGCCCAAAACCUAGCAUUUCCCUCCGCGGAUUCAUCUGAAAUCUAGCAGAUUCAUAAUGAUUCUUUCAUUCGAGUUAUGAAAUCAUAAUGAUUCUUUCAUUAUCGUUAAUGAGCUUCUUUCAUUAUCGUUAAUGAGCUUCUUUCAUUAUCGUUAAUGAGCUUCUUUCAUUAUCGUUAAUGAGUGAAUUCUGCUUUUCUUGACUUUUGUGCCAGUCCGAAGGACUAUCCAUAUUCUAUUCUUUGCGCAUCUGCGUCCUUCUUUUUCGCAACGCAUAUUGAAUUGCGCCUUUUAUCUCUUUCUUCUUAAUAGACCAAAUCGAUGAAAUAGACCAAAUCGAUGAAAAGAAGGAGAAUUUGUCGGAAAUGGCCGGGAUAGCUCAGUUGGUAGAGCAGAGGACUGAAAAUCCUCGUGUCACCAGUUCAAAUCUGGUUUUCUCGGCACAUCAUGAAUUUGUAUGAGUAUCUAUUCUACGGAUUCAUUAAUAAUAUAGAUCAUUCAAGGAUACAUCAUCUUUGACCCUCAAGACUCAACAAUAUCCCCCAACUACGUUGCCUCAGUCGCAGCAAACAAAAAGAAAGCGGAAAUCCCCUAAUGGAUAGUCCUUCGGACCUGUCUUAUGGCGCCUUCGGACGGUCACAUAUUCUAUUUUUUCUCUAGUUCAUCAAAUUUCAUGGAUCCGUAGUUAGGAUCCAUAAGACUGAAUAUGGAUUUCUCAAUCGCAUAUUUCAUUGCGCCUCCGUAGCUUAAUAUGAUUUGCUCAAAUAUGCGUUCCAAAAAAAAGAAAGAAUGAAAACUUUGAAUAUUGCGUUGCGUGGAAAUGGAAAUAAUAUCCGCGCGUAGGAUGAAUGAAUAUGAGAAGAAUAUUGACAAGCGCAUUUAUCUAAGAAGAGAAAACGAGUCAAGAGGACGGAGUGCAAGGAUGAAAUCCCGUCCUCAGUCCUAUCCAUAUUAACCUGUUCAUAUAUAGACCCCUCCGCUAGGCUCAAAGAAGAUUUCUCAAAAGUCUGAUUAAAUAGCCGAUAAAAAAGCAGUGAAAUAACUGAAAUAAGCGGUCUACAAUAUAAUAUCCCCCUUUCUUAUGGAGCCUAACUACGGGGGGGGGAUCGAGAAAAUCAGACUCCAAGGGAGAGGUCAGACCAGAGAAUUCUAUUUGGUAUCGGGUGGGCUACUCUUUGUGCUUAUGUUACCAAGGAGCACAAGAGCCCUUACGUUUGGGGACAGUAAUCACUUCAAGAAAAAGGGUCGGGUAGAACAACUUCUUAGGGGAAGCUUUUUCUAUGAAGGAAGAGAAAGAAGAAAAGACGAAGCAAAGAAGCGGAGCGGUAAAGAUCUCUGGCCAGAACCUGAUAGGGCUAGCUUAGCUGCCAGAGGGAUUGGAUUCUCUCUUUAUUGUAUAUCAAGAGAACGUAGAAAUCCUUCUUUCUAGUACGCUCCCAGAAUGAGCCCAAGCCCAGAGAAUGAAAGGUGCUCCUUUUCUCUAUUCUAUAGAUAUAAGAAAGCAGCUAAUUGCUAGCUCUCUUCCUUUGGUGCGAGUGAGGGACUAACCGCCUUACCUCUGCUCACUCCGGAACUAAAGAAAGCCUACCAAAGAAGAUUGAUUGCUAAGCCAGAAAGAGAAAGAAAGCCUACCAAGAAAUCGAUCAGUCCCUAGGGUUAACAAAUUAGUAAGUUCAUGUGUCAUGUAAAUUACUCAAGGGUGUGUAGUAAGACACCCAUCCGCAGCUCAAUAUUCUUUGAACCUCACCUUGACUAGACACUCAGCGCAUCAUGACUCAAAGUAGUACUAAUUUUGAGGGAAGAAAAAAAGGCGAGAGAUAUUAUCGAGGGAAGUAGUCAUCUUCUUUGAUUCAUUCUAAGAACUCUGUCCCAAGCGGGAAAAGCUCAGAGAAAGGGAAUUACACAGGAUGAAAUGGGGAUGAAAGUAGGUUAGAGCUUAGAGAUUAUGUCCGUUGCACUGCCAUAGUCGUCGCGAAGGAGAAGGACGAGGCGCUAUAUCAUAUAUAUAGCUCUACUCAAUGAGAAUGCAUCCAGAUAGAGUGCCGCGAAUUAGAGGAGCCGAUACAGAAUGGGAAGGAAGACAGUGCUGUCUUACAUUCCGCGUGGGCCAGCCUCUCUUUAUAUGUCACCAAAGAAGACAAGAAGCCCUAUGUCUGGGGAAAGUUCUCCCUUCAAGACAUACUGCAAGAAGCAGAGGUCAAAGCACAAAAGGCUUUCUUGUGAACCAGCACGAGCGUGUGCGGAAGCUUAGAGAGAGGAUUGAGCAGUACGAUGAUUUCCUGGAGCUAAGGGGCGAUCCAGAGAUCGCAGGGCUCCUCUGGUCCAAGUACAGUACUGAAAGCAAAAUCAGGGAAGAUUCCCAGCAGAUAAAGCUAGAAAAGAGAUCCACUAUGGAGCUACGAGUAGCUUAUCUCGAGGAGAGGGGCGAAGAAGCUCGACUGAAAGGAGAGGGGCCGGCCUCUUCUAAGAAGAAUUAGAGGAUCAAUCUCUAUUCUUAGAUUGGAUUGGAUCGCCACCAACCUCGUCUUCCAGAGGCCCAUCCAUAAAGACAAGGCAACUCUUUGUCUAUGGGCGGCCAAGUACACAAAAAACCCCCUUGUUCUUAGUAUGUUAAAGAAGGGCUUAAGGGAAGAAGAAGAUCAAGCCUAGGGACAAAGGAAGAACGACUAAAAUCAAAAGGGGCACACGAUUACUUCGACCUCUGGGUCGUCGAUGAGUUCAUGGAAGACAAGGCGCAGUCCGAAAACGAAUCGGAACAAGGUCGGAAUUAGAUUCAGGGGAUGCUCACGCUCAUGGGCAGGAGUGCAGGCCUCAAUACGAAAGGACCUGAUAUAAGAAGGCCAAGGUUCCCAUUAUUUUCAUGGGAAAGCAUAUACCUUCUACCUGAACCGUGGACGAAAGGCCUUUGGCCAAGAGAAGAGAGCCUUUCACCUUUCAACUUUGACUCCAACAUAGAGGAGCUGCAAGAGGAGAGGCUUAUAGCCAAUGGGGUUGUAUUUUCGGCCGCCUGCACGAUAGCAGGGGAGCUCGUAAGGGAUCCCCGCCUUUAAUACAAUUCGUUAAGCAGAUUAGAAGUGCCUGUAAGCGACGGAAAGAUUCUUUCACUCCUUAUUAUUGAAAGGAGAAAUCCACGUGCUGGCAAUAAGGAAGGGCAGCAAAAAGGGGGAGAAAGCCUACCUGGACCGCGGAGUGGGCAUUGCUCAACUGAGAGCAUGGGACAUGAACCUACUACAGUUUGCCGUAGUACCCCAAGAAAUCCGUAAAUUCAUAGCCCAUGAGCCCACACAGCACAUAAGGGGAGCACGCCAAAGGCUGGUUAUAAGGAGGGAAGAGGACCACGAUAAGCAGGAUUACGCCUUAUGGUAGGCUUUCCUUCGUGACGUAAAAAGGGUGCCCCAGGCCUUGUUCAAGGUGACCCAGCAUCCAUCUCCAUCAGUACUCUUUCUGUUCUAAUAAGCUUUUAGCAGUAUAGCGGGAAGCAUUUUCAUUCAAUAGGGCAAGAUGGAAAUUUUCCCACUCCAUUGCAUUGGGGAAGAUUUUUGAGAAGUUUCAGCCUUAGUGCAUUCUUUUGUCUCUUCUCUCUGUCUGCCUGAGAAAGAGUUCUGAGAAUCAAAUCAACCUUCAGAGAUUCCCGCCUUCUUUCUUGACUAGUAGUAAGCAUUAUGCCUUUCAUUUCUUAACCUAGUCAAAGAGGGGGAGCCGCUGCUCCUUUGUAUAGGGAAAAAGGGUGAUAUAAAGGGAUGAAUUCUCUGGUCUAAUUAAUAAUAGACUGGGGAUCGUAGGAAAGGUUCUUUACUUGUCGGCUAGCCUAAGCUCCAUCCUACUUACUUGCUUUCUUACACAUUUAGACCGGUCCGAAGCCUGAAUUCUCGAUUUUCGGUUCAUCUGAAUUCAAAAGAAAGAAAUCAGAGCCCACUUCAUCAAAGAAAAAAAGAAGAAUGGGGACGGUCCCCUGCUUCCUUUAGUUCCUUUGGUGAACAAUAGGUCAUCUUCUACCCAGAAUUGACGAGUCUUCCCUUCUUUAAUCAACUGUAUUAUAGCUUGGGCCGCAGGGUCCUUGGCCAGGCAAGCCUUGAUAGUUUCAAGAAGGGUGCCGGCUGCUAGCUUUUAAAUGGGCGAAGAUGCACAGGGCCGCAUGUUCGCUCAUCCGACUAAGGGCUAAGGCCGCUCUCCUUUACCUGUCUUCAAAUUUCAAAGAAAAUUCGGCCAAGCAUUCUUGCCAACGAGCUUCUUUAGAGGUCAAUUUGGGUUGACUGAAAAAGUGGCAUAUCUUUCUAUUGUCCGUCUUGACUACGAACUGGGAUCCCAAGACAUAUUGUCUCCAGGCUCUAGUGUACCACUGCAAGCAUUUCUUUCUCUCCGGCUUCUCCUCUCCGCAUCCAUCCUUCAGUUUCCUGCUCUCAUAGGCAAUGGGAUGGCCGUCUUGGAGGACUAAGGCAAAAUCAGAUGCGUCGCUUUCCACUUGCUUUGCUUACAUCGGCAAUUCCGAGAACCGGCCCUUCCAUCAUGGCCUUCUUCAGAUCCCCCAGCCUGAGAUUCUGGGGUCCAUUCCAUUCCCACUUAUGGUCUUUCUUCAAGAACUCCGUUAAGGGCCCUGUUCUUGAAGAGAAUCCCUCAAGGAAGGUAGGCUUUCUGGAAAAGAAAUAGUAGGUUCUACGAGGAAAGAAGGCAAAUCCCUUACUACAGACGGCACUCUCCAGUCACGUAGAGCAGUCAUUUUGCUCUCUUCCAUGCCGAUUCGGCCACACUCGAUCACGUGACCGAGGAAGUUAAUGCCUUUCUGAGCAAAGGCAAUUUCUCUCUCUUUACAUACAGUCAACCUCAAUUUCUCAAAUACUAACUGAAGGUGAGGUUGAUGCUCUUCUAGCCUCGCGCUCUAAACCACAAUCUCGUCCAGAUAUAUAUACUAGGAUCAACUUCUCAAGGUAUGAAUGGAAAACCUGAUUCUGAAAGGUAGAAAAAGUGGCUGGAGCAUUGGUGAGGCCGAAAGGCAUUAGACUCGGAAUGAAAAGGCGUAAUCUCGUCUAAGACAAUGGUUCAUCUCCUGAAGCAAUUCGCACUUGAUAAUAAAUACCCUGAAAUCUGAUCCAAUUCUUCAAAGUACUUGGUGGAGGCGGUCAAAUAAGUCUGUGAUAAUGGGGAGAGGUCUUUCGAACUCUGAGUUUAUUCAGCGCUCGAUAGUCGAUACAUAAGCGGAGACUUCCCUCUUUCUUCUGAAUCAAGAAGAAAUAUGUGCGCGAGGACCUUUUGCAGGUCUAAUAAACCCAGCGUCCAAGAACUCUACCAAUGAGAAGUUCUGCCAAUUCUGGCGGCCCCAUGUGAUACGCAUUCUUUGCAGGGGGUCUCGCCCCGGGUAGAAGUUCUAUCUCAUGAUCUAUCCCCCUGAGUGGAGGUAGAGUCUUAGGCAAACUCUCUGCCAUUACGUCUUGGUAUUCGUCUAAGACAUACUGGACUGCCUCCGGAACUAGCUCUUUCGGACUUUCCUCAUCAACCACUGGGAUAGCCAUGAAUGAACGUGGGCUCUUCGCGGGCUAGCCCUCUCUUCAGCUGGAGAAGUUUCAUCCCUUUCUUCUCUUUGUCUGGACUACGGUGGGAUUAGAUCCUGUGACUACCAAAGAUUUGGCCAAGGAUCAAAGUAUUUGAGCUUUGCGCCUUGUGUUCAAGAAGGAAUUCCAUCCCCAGCACUACAUCAAAAUCGUCCAUCUUCACAACCAAAAAAUCCGUCUGUCCACUCCACGAUCCCAAUUUGAACCUCAUUCGUCUUGCAAUCCCCAAAAUGGGUAAGGCGGCUGAGUUUACUCCUUUCAUUUUUCCUGGGUCUUUGUCCCAAUUCUAAGACGUCGGGCCUCUGUCUCAGCAAUUCCAUUGGGGGUGGGAAUCGACCUCUUUUGGCCUCUUUCUGAUUCACCCACGCAUCUACGUACAUGAGACCUCGUUCCGCCUGUCCUUUAUUUCCCUCUGCCUUUUUCUUCAGGGCGGACAAAAACUUCAGGGCCCCGGGGUUUUCCUCGCCCUCUUCUUCCCCUGUAUUCGUCUCAUUCUUUUCUUUGUUCAUUGAUCGGCAUUGGUUCUUAACCUUGCCUGGAAUGCCUUGAGAGCAGCGAGAUUUGGGCAUUCGUAAACUCGUUGGGGGCCCUUGCACAGGAAGCAAGAUGGGGGUCCUCCUCUAUAAUUGCCUUGCUCUUGCUUCGGGUUGCGCCCUUGGUGUCCGCCUCUUGGGGGAAAGGCUUUGCGAUCCCCUCCUCCCGCUCUCUCUCCUCCUCCACUUUUGGGAGAGUUAGAUCCGGCGGGUUUAUUACUUCCACUAGAGGAAGCUUGCUUUCCUCUUUGCUCGUGGGGCGCAUCCUUGCUGAGAUCAAAUAGUCGUUCUGCUGCGGCAUAGGCUGAGGACAGGCUUUGGACUGACGGCUUUCUCUUUCUUUUUCUUUCUUUUAGCCCACCACAAAAGAUCAAACUUUAGCUUUCUCUGACAUAUCACGGAUAUCCAGGAUCAGCCCGGCAAAUUGCUUCACGUAUUCUCUAAUUGUGCCAGUAUCUUUUAGUUCUCCUAACUUACUGAGAAUUUCUUCUCGGGGAAGAACUGAGACCGCAGCUCUUCUUUCAGUGUCUCCCACGUAUCGAUGGUCCAUCUACCCUCUUGGAUGUCCACAAAUCGGGACCUCCACCACAAGCGUCUUCUGCCAGGUGCAUCGUCGCCAAUGUGAUCAAAGACUCUUCAGUCACUGUAUUCCUAGCUCUUAAAUAUUGUUCCAAAUCAAGGUGAAAAGAAUAUUGACCAGCCUAAGAAAGAGAAAGCCUAGGCACUUGAACCCGGUUGAACUGGACCGCGCCCCGGGCUUGGUCACCGCUCUUAUGGUGAGAUUGACUCUUGCGCUGACAUCUGCAAUCUCUGUCCUGAUGACAUUAUCAGAGCUCCUCCGAGAAUUCAAUUCGUUCACCAUUUUCAUUAUCGCUUUCUCUCAGCUGUCCAAUGCAAGGCUCUUCAGGCCGUAGAGCCCAGCUAUCCCCUCCCUCGCUCGAAGCUACCCAACCUGCUAGCAUUUGCUUCUCUCAAAUGAGCAAUAUUCUUUGCACCUUGUCAUCAACUCUUUGAGGGGCAUUCCGUCUAAGCGGCCAGCUACCGCAUCGAUUCCGCCUUCUCAGAGACUUCCUUCAGCCGAGUGUCUCUAGGAAUCGAACUUGAUCAGGGACUUCUAUCAAAUAGAGCAGAUGCUCUUCCAUCUCUCCCAACCGGUCAACGUGGGACUUACCCAACUCUUUCGUAGCCGACAUGAUUACAGCUUGUUAACUUCGUGAGCCGACUUGGCUCUGAUACCAAUUCUCACGGUCGCACUUUCGUAAGCGUCUCGGAGCGAUCUAAGGCAAUCCCACACUAGAACAAGUCAGCCAAACUCAAUCCAAAUAGCCGAUGGCACGCACAAUGGACGUACUUCGCAACCCUUGAUCAAUUAGAAAAGGGGUUUAGAGGAAAAGGUUUGAGCAAAGGUUUGAAAGCAUCUUUGAGAAAAUCAAUGAGGGCUAUAAGCAGGACAAGAAGUUCUAUCUUUUCACUCGAGGAUGUGUGGAUAUGAUGAUUAGUCUGACCCCCACAUAGUACAUUUUGAACAAAAAGAGAAUUGGCAGGCUCAACUAGAAAGAAAGGAAGAAAGCCAGCGGUGGAAUAAAGAAGAAAGUUUGAGUAUAUUCACCUUUUAUUUGCCGCCUUGAUUUUGUGAAGAGGUCGGAUAUAUAGGAUUAGGAGGAGUGGGAGUGGAGAUCCCGAACUUGCAUGAGAAAAAUAGAUCAGUCAGAAAGGACUUAUCUCAUUCUAUAUGUUCCGACGCAUAAAGAAAGAGUAGAAAAAGAUAGAAAAAGGACGGGACAAUUAAUUCAAGUACGGAAUCCUCUGUCCAUGUCUUGAGGUCUAUUCGAUCUUGAUCGACUGCUUUUUCCUUAGAAGACAGCUGUCAAAGCAACCUCCUCAACCUAUCGGAAACUCCUCUGAACCUGCGAUGGAUGAUCUCUACUGGUCUGAACUUUCUUCUUAGUGAACUGAAAGGCCUACGAGGAGGCUGCUCGAGCUACCUUACCUCUCGGUAUGAGUGCGGUUUCCGUCGGAGUUCUUGAAUCGGAAAUGAGUACAUUAUCAGCCGUCCAGCGACUUUCUUAUUCUACUGUCAAAACUUCUUCCUCGCUUUUCUUUAUGGGAACUGAAGCUCGCUAGGUAGGAUGGAUGCAAAAGUCUGUCCUUCGAUAAUUGGUCGGGCAUAUUCCUUCCACUCGUGAACCCCUUCUCCUCGGAAUACGAACCUAUUCCACUGCAGAAGAACCGAGACUUCUCCUACGAAUGACUCGUAAACUGAAGAUCUUUCAAACUCCUCCGAGCAAUAUGAAAACCUACUAAAGCCUAGGAGGGAAUUCCAUUCCGGCCUGGCUUACCUUGAGAGUUGACUGACUUUCUUCCUCAUGAAACUCCAAUGCAUUCCCGAAAGAGGUCAAGCUGCAACCUAUCCUCUUGGUCUCCUCACACAGCGCGUAGUGGUGGUCGAGAUAUUAAAGGCGUAGUGGGCUGGCCGGUCUACGAAGAGAUUCUAAUAGUGAGAGAGCCAGACCCAAGUCAAGAGUUCUAUCGGAGGCCUUCUCUUGAAAACCGAGUUCUCGAUCCGAAUUCAGAUUACUCGGUCUAAUAAUGGAAGAGAGGUUCCAUAAGCAUAAGAGGAAAGCCAUACCUACUCAUAUCUUCUGCUUUCAGUUACCUCCGGGCUUCCGGUAAUCAUUGAAUCAUUACGCAUGGUCUAAUGGAAGAGAGAGAGAAAGAGCCAUUCCACUCGUCAACUUAGGAUGUGCCACCAAGGCUCAAAGAAUUUGAGAAAGAACAUCACUCCUUUCUUCUGGUCCGGUCCCGAGCAAGGUAGAUCCGCCUGUCUUUCAUGCUUUGUUUUUUCCUCUAACCUCUCGACUCGUACUCUUUCUCUCUCCUUUCUUCCUCGUGCGUGCCUAUUUGACUUUGCUGUCUCGCUACUUUCUCAGUCUGAUCCUUCAUUAUUCUUUCAUAAGAGAAUGGGAAUAUGAGCAUACGAUUUCUGAAUAAUAGCUUGACUCUCCUGGAACAAGCCACAGCCACUUCCUCAACUUCCGCAGCCACUGCUCUCGAUCCUUUCUUCUUCAACUUCAACCGCUCCUUUACCUUUAAGUAGGUUCAGACUUUCCUUUCUACAGUCAAAAUCAACCGUGGGCGUGGUGACCAAUCGUCCGCGAUGGAAUGAGAUCUUGAGUCAUAAGAAAAGGUAGGGAGAGGUGGGAAGCCGCUAUCGGUCUGAUUCAUAGGGCAUUCUUAUUCUCUUUCUCUCUUUCUUCCAAGAAGACUAGACCGACCGACCCCCACUCGGAUCGGUCUUAUUCCGCUUCUUAUUCUACUUAAUAAAUAAAGGUAAGAUAAGAAAGCCACGGGUGGUGGGAGGUAAGCUUCGUAGGACGCCCCAAAGAUGAAAGAGGAGGCUACCUACCUACAAGCUUGACUUAUAUCCUCGUAAACUACUUUUGAUAGGGAUCUCAUGAUCGGAUAGUAAUGUCAUAGGAUUGAUCAAAGAUCAAAAAGGGUUGCGAGACCUAGUUUUCUCCUUUUCUUGGGUUCGGGAAAGGGUAUCGGAUUAUGGGCGAAGCCGCUCCACUGUAUCAAGAUCGAGAACUCACCCGUAUCAGAUGGAUCGGCCGAGUCAUAGCUCUUCCGUUGCAGCAGAGUCAGAAAGAGCGGGGAACUCCGCAAUAGUAGGACUAGCUAGCGCAAGAAUCAUAUAUCUACUCAACGAAGCAGCAUAGAAAGGACAGGAGCGAAGCGAGUAUCAUCAGUCCAUUCAAUAUUCCAAAUUGAAUAAGAAAGAUUCCCGCUACGUGGGCAAAGAAAGAAGGAAAGUAAUAGAGAGUCACUCCAUUCAUAACUAGGUAGUUCUGGCUUUCUAUCUCCAUCUUAGAGUGACCACCUUCUUUUCUCAAAGAAAGCAGGCGACCAAUAUAAAAAAUAGUGGACUGCGGUCCUGCGAAGCCGGUCAACGGAUAGGCAGAGUACAAACCGAUGGUAGACUUUCUUCAAGUUUGACUUUCCAUGAACUAGUCUAUUAAAGAAGAGACGAAGAGCUUGAUUAUCCACUUAUUUCCCCCUCAAUGAUCUUGAGCAGGGUAUAUAAUGGAGAAUAGAGACUGAACUUCUUAAUAUGUAUCGUAUCACAGAUCCAUGAAAGAUCCUUUUUUCCUAGCCCCUAUUGCACCAUCUUGAUAGGAAUAGGUUGAAUGAGUCAGAGGAAGCGAGACAGAAGGCAUCGGGGCAGGGGAGUAAUCGUAAUCCGUCCCAGGAGAAUAGGAAGUAUCCGUUGAGGAAUCAGAAGUUGAAUGAGAGGAAUGAGAGACUGAAAGCAAGACGGGAUCGAUGUGCAGGUCAGAAAUCGGGGGGAUAUUUUCUAGGGAUCGGAGGCCCCGGUAACAUAACUCUCUUAUAGAAAGAGUAGGGUAGGAGUAUUCUCAGAAGUUAGUAUUCCAGAGUCAGCCUCAUCCAUUUCAUGAGUCCGAAGUUUCAGUUUCGGAAGUUGAAUCAGAGUGAGAGGAAUCAUCUUUCGGCAGAGGGCUAGGCCAGGAGGGCUUGAUGGGACUAUCUCAAUUCUCUGUUCCGGAAGCCUCAGUUAGAGGUUAUCAUAGGAUCGACCUUCACUAUCCCAAGCAGCUAUCUGCUUAGGGGCUCUCUUCUUCCAUGUCGGAGAAAGUACUUUUUCUUGAAUCAGAGUCUGAGUACGAAAAGCAUCCUUGAGUAUGAGAAGGAUAGGUUGCUAGGGAAGAAAGGAUAGAAGCAGCUUUACCGCCCACGUAGCGGGAGAGAGAAUGAGAGGGAUAGGACGUCAUCACCUUAUCAAUAGGAAGCGAUACCGGCCGAGUGCCAUUUAGUUAGGAUGCGGCUUUCCCGACGGGUAACUGAAAUUCCUAAGCAAGAUCAGUUUCAUUAUCCGUUUCCGAAGAGCUACUCUGAUAGCUUGACUCAGUAUUCUUUAUACCCCCUCUUUCAAGGGAGAAUUAUCCGACUUAGGAGGGUACCGCAUUGGGCAGAAGCAUCACAGCAGUUCCUAUAAGAAAUAUUCCCUAGUUCAGGUCGAGCAGAGCUUCAUACCGAUUAAGAAAGGGAUAAGAAGACAGCUGAGCACCGAUCCCGAAAGAAAAGAGUCUAAGUCGAAAAAUCCGCUUUUAAGAAAAUGAAGUCAAAUUCUUUGCCUCUGUCUUAUCCGCUCCUCUCCCACUGCGUAGGAGGACGGUCUAGCAGCCCUUUUUCUUGAUUACGGAAGAAGGGGCCCUAACUUUUGAGUGAUUUAGGCUAUUUCCCCUCUCCCUAUCUAUAGGUCUAGCUCCUAAGCGCGUAGUGGGCUCUGCUGCCUCGCUCGGGUCGUAUUCAUAUCUUGAAAGAAGGUCAGGUCUAGCUUUCGGCGCUCUUCCUAUGGAUCAUGAAAUGAGUACUUAUUGCCAUAGAGCCGCAUCGAUCCUAAUCUACUCUGUCUCCCUUCUGGUCUCGCUCCUUCGCUUCCUAUUUCUGAAGCUUGUUGUCGAGCUCCUUCGCUUCCUAUUAAAUGACUGACUCAUGGUUCUAAGAAUGAAAUGACUUUAGACCUGAAAGAAGACCCGAUCCGGGGCCACUUCGCUCUUCAAGCCUAUCGGUAAAGCAGCUUUCGCUGACUCUGACUUUGCCCUGGUCUACCUUCCCCAAAGAAAAAUCGAGCCCUCACUCUACUCUUGCGCUUCCUUUUCCACUCUUCUCCCUAAGGAAAGAGAGAAUUUGACUUCUACUCAGAUCAGAAAAUAGGGAAAGCUUUCUCCAACUCAUGAAAGGCGUAUGAGGCAUAUGAAAGAGAAAGAGCGGUAGUUCUCAGUCCCCUUAACCCGAUCUGACCCUAUACAAAGCGAUCUUGCUUAGAAAGUCUCUUUCCGCCACCAGAUCUGAUUCCUACUAAACUCAAUCUGACUCCGGAUCUUAUGCUCCGGCUCUCGAUGCUACCGCGUAGUGGGCCAUAGAUCUUUGCGCCUCCUCAAAAAGGGCAAUAUUCUUUGCGCCUUCUCUUCUGACUUCGGUUUUUGGAAGGUGGGCUUUCUUCUUCUUCUUUCUCAAACUAGACGCCCACUUAGCCCCGUCAGUGGCCCUUCUUUUUUGAUAUAUUUAUAUAGGCGCCCGCGAAGCAAGGCAUCCUUCAUAUUUCUCUGGGAUAGGCAGAGUACAAAAGAGAAGGAGAAGAUCGAUUGAGGAAAGCAUGAACUAUCGUUAUAGUUGUGGAAAGUAGAUCUUGAUUCUUCUUACCACCUUCUUUGAGAAAAACCAGCAAGAAUAAUGGCUUUGAUUCAAGCCGGUCAAAGUCUGGCAGAGUAGAAAAUUCGAACUUGCUUCAAGACAGAGAGUUCAAGCUAUGACGGUAGUUCUGGCGAAGUCUCUCUCUCUUCUUCCAUUAGAUGCAGUAGGGGAAUCAUCAUUCUCACUCCCUUUCCGAAGAGCUACUGACUGAGGAAGACUUGGUGCGAGACCGAGUUGGAUCGAAAGAAGCGGCUUUCCCGGAUUGAGUAGGGGACUAAGCUAUCUCAAGAGAGUAGGAGCCUCAAGCGCUUUCAAUUCGAAGUUAGAGUCAGUGGCGCUCAAUCUCCAGCUCCCCCGAGCAGCCUUUCCCGAUAGGGUCUUGAGUGAGUUAUUGCCUUUCUCCCUUUCAUAGGUUAAGUGAGUCACAACAAUCGUCAGCGAGAACUAUCUAUUUCUAUCAAGUAGGCUUACAGAGGGUAUUUCAUAAGACAGGAGAAUUCUCAGUGUCGGCUACGAAAGGCGAGACCAGUCAAAUUCUUUGACCCUAGGCUUGAUUUUCAUAUUCAAGAUUCCACUCGCAAAUUCUUUGCCCCUUAUUCAUUGAUUGCGCUUGCACGCCUAUUUUUUGGAUUUCACAGGUCCGAAGGACAGACAGGUUAAUAUGGAUAGGACUGAGGACGGAAUCAGACUUCUAAUAGAGUGUCCAGCUGACUAUCCAUUAGAAUAAGGCGAAGGCUCAAAGAAUCCCACUACGCGGGAUAGUCCGGAGGACUGGAAGGCGCAAAGAAUAUUGCCCAUUAGAGAAUUUGACUUUGGAGGAGGCGCCAUAAGACAGGGAUAUUCUUGAAUACUAUUACUUCUUAUUUGACGUUAGGCUCAUAAUAUAGUAUGAACCCUUGCGCUCCUUAAGAGUCGCUUCGCUUCUCCCCUCUCCUUUCAGUCGUCCGGAGGCUCAAAGAAUGAUCGGAGCUUUUCAUAUUGCGGAAAAGAAGAAAGGCUCUUUGAAGAUUGAGAAAUCCAUAUUAAAUUAGUAAGCGGUAGCUUUCUUACAAAGGAAAGAUUGAACCGCGUAGUGGGUCUUUCAAAGAUUAUUAUCAAUAUCAAAACAUUUAAGCGGAAGCCUUGUUCUUCCAGCGCCUAUUCUUUGUGGUGGUCCGAGCUACCGGUACUACUUUCUCCUAAUUAGACUAAUGGAAGGAAGACCGUAACCUCCUAAGCGAGCACCCCUUGUCCCUAAUAAGAUCAAAGAGCUUCUCGCCCCUUGCUUGAUCUUCCCCUGGAACCCACGGAGCGGUGGGGUUCAGAUCAGAGUGCCAUGAACAGACUGACGGAAAGAAUGAAAGACCGAUCGUCUAGUAAAUGAGAUGCCCAUUGAUACCCUUUUUCGAUGCAUGCAAAUGGACUGUCGACAAAAGAUAAUAUAGAAAAAUCAGUGAUUUUCCUCUUUUCAUUGCUUCCACCUGCGAACAUUCCCCCUUGAAUCAGUACUCUAAUCUAAGAAAGGGUCCGGGUCGUAUUCUAUCUUUCAUGAUCAAAGAGGAUGAAAUGCUGCUCGACAAGAGGGGUUGCUGUCUAACUUCAAGAAGUAUUGAAAGGUAAGACCUAUAAGAAAGAGGUCAGACCCAGAGACUGAUUUCUUUGAGUUCGCCUCUUCCUUUGGUCUUGAAUAUCUAGAUCUGAGUUCGUCGGCCUCAUUCAAGGCAUUUCACUCAAUUUCCUUUUAUUUACAUAAAAUCGCCUAGUUGAGACCGCGUAGUGGGGAUUUACUCGACUAUUAAAAACCUUGGGAAAUCCGAAGCUCUUUCCUCCCCAAGGCAGACCGAACUACAAGAGCUUUUUUCUAGAAUACGAAGAGGAGGAAUCGGAUGACGAAGGAUCAAUCAGGCAGGGAAAGGAAAGUCGGGCUUACUAGCCCGCCAUCUCAAGCUCAUCAGACCCACGUAGCGGUUCGGAGUCGGAGCGGGAAUAAAAGGAAGAGGUCUAAGUCGAGGGGUCUCCAGCUACCUGGGUAGGGUCGGCAGGUCGGGGCCGAGUGGGAGAUCCUAUUUCAGUGACUAACGAAAGAGCUUACCUCGAAGAAGAGAUGACGCAUCCUCAACUGCACUGCUACUGGUCUCGUCUUUCUCUACUGCUUGAAAGCUGACGCUUCUGACUCAAGAAAGACGGGUUAAAAAGACUAUGAAAGUCCGCCGAGACUGGUGUCUUUCACCCCCUAUUUCCGAUUUCAGUGACUAGAAAGAAAUACUAUACCGCGUAGUGGGACCCGAGCAAAGAAUAUUGCUUUAAAUAGUGGUCCGUCCGGAGGACUCAAGGAUUCCGCUAAAGUUUACCGAAGGCGCAAUGAAAUAUGCGGCGUGAGGUUAGGAUCAAAGAAUUUGAAGAGAAGAAAGGCUCUUUUCAGAUUUCGAGUUUACAAAUUAGGAGAAAGAAAUAGAAAGUGCUGAAUAAUGAACUCAUUAACGAUAAUGAAAGAAGCUCAAAAUGGGAAUGAAAAAGAAAGAGGUGAAUAUGGGAGAUUUCAGACAUCUUUGCUUAAUGAAGACGGAGGGAAAUCCCGGAAAAUGCUAGGUUUUGCCCAUAGGGAAGUAGCAAGAAAGAAAGUCAAAUGCCUUCUUUUUCACUCAAUUAUCGUGAAAUAGAUAAAACUGAAUAUGGAUAGUCCUUCGGACUGGUCCAUUAGAAAAAUCUAGUGUGUGGAAAUUCACAUUGAGAACUUAUAGUUUGUGGUCCUAAAUUCACGCUGGUACCGUAGUAGGUAAACUUUCAGGGGAAAGAGAAAGAACUUUAGGCUUUGUUGAUUUACUACGUGAUGAUUUUAUUGAAAAAGACCGAAGCCGCGGUAUUUAUUUCACUCAAGAUUGGGUCUCUUUACCAGGUGUUCUGCCAGUGGCUUCCGGUGGUAUUCACGUUUGGCAUAUGCCUGCUCUAACCGAGAUUUUUGGAGAUGAUUCUGUACUAGCGGAGGAACUUUGGGGCACGGGUAAUGCACCUGGUGCCGUAGCUAACCGAGUAGCUCUAGAAGCAUGUGUACAAGCUCGUAAUGAGGGACGUGAUCUUGCUCGUGAGGGUAAUGAAAUUAUCCGUGAGGCUAGUAAAUGGAGUCCUGAACUAGCUGCUGCUUGUGAAGUAUGGAAGGAGAUCAAAUUUGAAUUUGAGGCAAUGGAUACUUUGUAAUCCAGUAAUUACUCUUCGUUCUUUUAAUUGACUUUCAAUUAAACUAAACUCGGCCCAAUCUUUUACUAAAAGGAUUGAGCCGAAUACAAUACAAAGAUAUUAUUUUAUAUCUUUUUACUAGAUAUACAAAAUAGAAAAUUGAAAUGAGAAAGAACUGAAACAUUUUUUGAUUGUUGUGCUGGAUCCGCAAUUAAGCCUAUGGAUCCUUAGGAUUGGUGUAGUCGUUUAAUAUAUUAUAUCCCGUAGCCUCGUUUCAGAUCCGGGAUCGAGCCAAGUAUCACAACUUCUUCUACCCAUCCUGUAUAUUGUCCUUUUUGUUCUGUCUUGGAAUACAAAUUUUUGCUUUUUAGUAAACAUUAUAACGGAACCUUUUUUUUGAAGACCGACUCGUUAAUAGUUUUUAAUCCUAGUUCUUGGAUUUAGUGAUAGGAAAUGAGAUAUGAAAAUGAUUUCCUUUUUAUCGAAUGACUAUUCAUCUAUUGUAUUUUCAUGUAAAUAGGGGCAAGAAAGCUCUAUGGAAAAA